Molecule: ribosomal RNA, 217 nt
Filed under: uncultured bacterium
Lineage: Bacteria
Description: partial 16S ribosomal RNA
Rfam family: Bacterial small subunit ribosomal RNA
Source: RNAcentral
GAUAAACGCUGGCGGCGUGCCUAAUGCAUGCAAGUCGCACGGGGUGUCCCUUCGGGGCAUCGAGUGGCGAACGGGUGAGGAACACGUGGCCGACCUACCCGGCGCGGGGGAUACCCGCCAGAAAGUGGCGGCUAAUACCGCGUACGGUCGCAUCCCGGUGGGGGUGCGAAGAAAGCAGCGAUGACGCGCUGGGAGGGGGCUGCGGCCGAUUAGCUAG